RNAcentral lists this transfer-messenger RNA (324 nucleotides) under marine eukaryotic metagenome. RNAcentral's name for it is "Alphaproteobacteria transfer-messenger RNA". It matches the Rfam family "Alphaproteobacteria transfer-messenger RNA". Rfam says of the family: Bacterial tmRNA, also known as 10Sa RNA or SsrA, is named for its dual tRNA and mRNA-like properties. The record is from RNAcentral.
UAAGCCGAUCGUCGCUAUAUAGGGCCUGCUCGUUUCGGCGGGCUAUGGCGAUAAAUUGCGGUGUGCAAUAGACGCAACGGACCCGGGGGCAGUACCCGGCGGCUCCACCAAAAACGGCGGUUUUCCGCCGUUCCUGACGGGGCCGAACCAGGAUCGACGUGUGUUGAAAAGCAUCGUUUUCGCCCGGGCUGAGUACCCCGUAAAACUGUUCAAACACACAAGUGCCAAUGACAAUGAAGCACUCGCUCUCGCUGCGUAAUCUGACGGCCUAACGGCCCGAACUUACAAAGCCAAAGCGCGGUUGGACCCACCGGGCAACAGAAG